Molecule: ribosomal RNA, 492 nt
Filed under: uncultured bacterium
Lineage: Bacteria
Description: partial 16S ribosomal RNA
Rfam family: Bacterial small subunit ribosomal RNA
Source: RNAcentral
AGUGAACGCUGGCGGUAGGCCUAACACAUGCAAGUCGAACGGCAGCACAGUAAGAGCUUGCUCUUACGGGUGGCGAGUGGCGGACGGGUGAGGAAUACAUCGGAAUCUACUUUUUCGUGGGGGAUAACGUAGGGAAACUUACGCUAAUACCGCAUACGACCUACGGGUGAAAGCAGGGGAUCUUCGGACCUUGCGCGAUUGAAUGAGCCGAUGUCGGAUUAGCUAGUUGGCGGGGUAAAGGCCCACCAAGGCGACGAUCCGUAGCUGGUCUGAGAGGAUGAUCAGCCACACUGGAACUGAGACACGGUCCAGACUCCUACGGGAGGCAGCAGUGGGGAAUAUUGGACAAUGGGCGCAAGCCUGAUCCAGCCAUGCCGCGUGGGUGAAGAAGGCCUUCGGGUUGUAAAGCCCUUUUGUUGGGAAAGAACAGCAGCAGGUUAAUACACCGAUGUUCUGACGGUACCCAAAGAAUAAGCACCGGCUAACUUCGUG